Molecule: transfer RNA, 72 nt
Filed under: Camelus bactrianus (Bactrian camel)
Lineage: Eukaryota; Metazoa; Chordata; Mammalia; Artiodactyla; Camelidae
Also listed under: 2 other names
Rfam family: tRNA
About the family: Transfer RNA (tRNA) molecules are approximately 80 nucleotides in length. Their secondary structure includes four short double-helical elements and three loops (D, anti-codon, and T loops). Further hydrogen bonds mediate the characteristic L-shaped molecular structure. tRNAs have two regions of fundamental functional importance: the anti-codon, which is responsible for specific mRNA codon recognition, and the 3' end, to which the tRNAs corresponding amino acid is attached (by aminoacyl-tRNA synthetases). tRNAs cope with the degeneracy of the genetic code in two manners: having more than one tRNA (with a specific anti-codon) for a particular amino acid; and 'wobble' base-pairing, i.e. permitting non-standard base-pairing at the 3rd anti-codon position.
Source: Rfam by way of RNAcentral
GAGGGUAUAGCUCAGUGAUAGAGUACAUGCUUAGCAUGCACGAGGUCCUGGGUUCAAAACCCAGUACCUCCA